This is a long non-coding RNA of Dendrobium catenatum, 4100 nucleotides long. RefSeq lists it as uncharacterized. The record is from RefSeq and is a predicted model, not a curated record. Lineage: Eukaryota; Viridiplantae; Streptophyta; Magnoliopsida; Asparagales; Orchidaceae. The transcript is spliced from 2 exons.
AAAGCCGCUUGAAUUUUCUUACACAGUAAGUCUUGACAUCCGUUUUAUUUCUUCUAAAAAUAUUUUUCCCUUUAAUUAUAUUAUAAAUAAUUAAUAAUUUUAAAAAUAUUAAAUUAUUAUACAAUUUAAUGCUCAUUAUCGUAAAUUAAUGCUGCUUAAAUUCCUUUCCUCAACUAAAUAAUUUUUUUUUUUAUUCUCAAAUACCCACAUCAAUUUUCCUCCCUCAAAUUUCAUUUAAAAGAAAUCUGUAACGUCCAUUUCAGGACUCUUCGGAUUUCUUUCCUCCAAAUCAUUUAUUUCUUUUCACAGUCGAACUUGAUGGCGUUGCUUCAUCGUUGAUGUCACUGUCGAACGUUUCUUCUUCUUCACAUCCGAACAUUUCUUUCUCUUCACAGUCAAACGGUUUCUUCAGCAUUCUUUCAUCGGAGUGUUUCUUUUCUCCAAAACAUUUUCACUGUGAAGCAGUUAUACAUGCCAGUGUUCUCAUGGCGUUGUUGUACGGCAUGAUCCAGUACUCGCUUGUGGUCUAUGAGCUCUGCCUCUUCUACAUCGUUGCUUAUUUGGGUAUUUAUAUUUAUUUUUUUCUUUUGGCUUCUAGAUCAAAGUUGGUAUCUUUCAUACCUUUUCUAACGAUGGAAACAACACUCGCUCGUGGCCAACGAACUCGGCCUCUUCUACACCGUCACUUAUUUGGGUAUUAACUUUCUGGCAUUGCUUGGGCUCAUCUUUGCUCUGCAUCAUUUGUUAUCAAUAUGCUUCUUCGUGAGAUCCUCUUGGUGCUCGAUGAUAUUCCCCAAAGUUUUUUUUGUUUUAUAAUGUAGCUUGAAAUAACUCAAUAAGUUAAUUGGUGAUUUGCUUUUGGUAGUUUUUGUUUGAAUUAGCCUCAAGUUAUAAUUUCAUCAAAUUGGAUUUAGUCUUUGAAUAAGUCAAAUUGUGUUUAGAUGAGGGAUGAGCAAAUGAGAAACAAUCUUGUUCUCUGUUUACAUAUGAUGUGAGUUAUGUUGCAUUGUUUCUAUUGAUUAUGCUCAUAAAGCUCUAAUCUAUGAUGCACUGACACUCUGUUUUAAGGGGGUAUGCAGUGUCGGACAUGGACACGCGUCCGACAGGUGGGGAUACGUGUCAGACACGUCAUUGGUUUAUUCAUUUUUUUUAAAAUAAUAACCGGACACAUGUGAUCGGUUUAUUGUGAUCGGUUUAUUUUUUGUUUAAAUUAAAAAAAAAAAACACCACUGCUUCAUAUAACCCUUCAUGCUCGACCGACGGCCUUUACCCUAAUCUCGUAACCUGUAUUUGCGGUCUUCCGGAGCGAGUGAGGCGAGCAAUGGAUGGAGCGAUUUCCCGCGAGCAAGGAGUCUUCCCUUCCGGCCGUAAGCAACGGAUCUUCCUCCUGUAAGCAACGAGUGCUACGUUUUUGCGUGCAGCGACUGCGAAGCUGACGCCAAAUUGACUGCGGUAAUAGUAGCAAACCUGUAAGUUUAUUUCACCAUUUUUUCUACCAUUUGUUAUUUAUCUUCAUUUAUUAAUGAUUCCAUGGAUUUGUUCUUUUUUUACCUAAAUCAAACACUAGGUUGUAAUUUUCAUUUUUAAAAUCUGUAAAUAUCAUGAGAUUUCUAAAAUCUGUAGAUAUAAAAUCUGUGUUGAGAUGUCUGAAUUGAGAGAUAGAUUUCAUUUCAAUAGUUUUAGUAGAUUAGUAGUUUUAUUCUUCAUUUUGUAAGGGGCUUAGUUUUCAUGUUUCUUCUAAAUAAUACAUGCUUAUUGCUUUUGAGGUUGUGUGAUGUAUUACAGUGGUUGUGUGAUGCCACUUAAAGAGGUUAUUUUGGAAGUCUAUAGGUUGCCUUGGCGGUGGGUGGUUUAACUUGGUAUUUGAUUUCAUGUUGGUUGGUUUCUUGUAAAGUAGCAAAAGUAGCCUAUGUUGUCACCCAUAUAUGAAAUUCCACUAGUGUAGGGAAAAUAAGUGAAACCUAAGUCAAAUACAAAGGCUAAUGAAAUCAUAUAUGCUGGAUGUCAUUGGAUAACAGUGGUCGUAGAUGAUGCUGUUACGAUCAGAAAUUUUAUUAUGAAUCAUUUGAUGAUACUUUCAAUAUUUAAUGAUUUCUCCCACUUGAGAAUAUUAGCUGUUGCUGAAACUCGUUUUACCUCUGUAAUAAUCAUGUUGAGAAGAUUCAAAUAAAUUAAAAAUGCUCUUCAAUCUAUGAUGAUUAGUGAGAAGUGGUCUUGCUAUCGAGAAGAUGAUGUUGGGAAGACAAUGUAUGUUAAAGAAAAUGACUUAGAAGAUUUAUGGUGGGAUAAUGUAGAUUACAUUUUAGAUGUGGGACUCUAUGUUAGCAAAGUGAAAGAAAUUGUAUACAGACAUGAAAGAAAGUCACAUGAAGAAGACUCAAGUUUUUGGAGCGUUGUCUAUAUCAUUCUUGAGGAUAGGUGGAGCAAAAACAACACACCUCUGUAUUGUUUGGCUCAUUCAUUAAAUCAAAGGUACAUUUGUAUAAAUCUUUUAAAUUAAUUUAAAUUUCUUGAUAAAUGAACACAUAAUUUUAUAUGCUUUGUAUUAUUUGAAGGUAUUCAAGUAAAGAAUGGUUUCAAGAAGACCCUCAACGUGUCUCACCACAAAAAGAUUUAAAAGUUUCAAAUAUGAGAAAUAUAUGCUUGAAACGAUAUUUCCCAAAUGAUGAGGAGAGAAGAAAAAUUAAUAUAGAACUUGCAAAGUUCUUUGGAUAUUUAGAGGAUUUUGGUGAUCAAGAAUCUUUGGUUGAUAGAUGGAGGAUGGAUCCAAAAAUGUGGCGGUUGAUUCAUGGAGCUUCAGCACCGCUUUUUCAAAUCAUAGCAAUAAAACUUCUUGGUCAAGUAUCAUCUUUUUCCUUUGUGAGAGAAAUUGGAACACAUACUCAUUUAUUACAUCAAUGAAGAGGAAUAAAAUAAUUUCACAAUGGGCUGAAGAUGUAGUUUAUGUGCAUAUAAAUAUUCGUCUUCUAUUAAGGAAAACCCCACUUUAUAUGACAGAUGAUAACAAGAUGUGGAUGUUGCUGGAGAUGAGUUCGAGUGCCUUGAUGAUAUGAGAUUAUUGGAGGUUGCAAAUCUUUCUUUAGAUGAACCAGAGUUGGAAGCAAUGAUAUUCAAUGAUGAUGAUAUUGAAGGUCAAAGACUAACCUCUGAAUCUAAUUCUAUUAUUCCCUCAAUUGAGUAGUUUAACCUUCAUGUUUUACUAAAUAGUUUUUGCUUACAUUUUUGUGGUUGUAUUAAAUAUUUUGUAUUAAACAUCUUUAUGCUAUAAGCUAAAUAAGUUAUUAUGACUUUGAUUUAUUAUUUCUUGCCAUUUUUAAUAUAAUGUUACCUUAAUUUCUUUAUAUUAUAUUAAAAAAUUAUUAUGCCGUGUCCACGCCGCACCUGUGUCCUAUAUUUUUAAAAAAUAUCGUAUCCCUUGUCGUGUCAUGUUCGUGUCGCCGUGUCUGUGUUGGUGCAUCAUAGGCUCUAAUUCUAUGUUCAUUAUGUAGUCUGGGUUGAUUUACACAGAAGAUAUAAACUUCAUAAGAGGCUCGCCUUCGUGCGAACCCAACAGCGAUGCCACUUCUUGCGCAUAUAGCAGCCAUGUUCUGUCAUUGCUCCCUCUCGCGUGAACUCGCAGCCGAUCUCAGGAAAGGUCUGUAGUUGUACCUCUUUACUUCCUCAUUUGUAAUCGAGUAGCAAUUAGAUUUCGUCUGAGAGCUACUCCUUUCAAACUAUGGUUCAUCUGUAUAUCGACAUCUGUUAUUGGUUCUUAUUUACCACUUGGAAAUUGCUUCCCCUUUUUCUGUUGAAUAAAUCAUAUUGAUUUUUUAAACUUGAUGAUUAUUAUUUUUAUAGUUUAUAGCAUAUGCAGAAUGUUUUUUAGGUUAAAAAAAAUCUUAAGUAGCUUCUUCUUUUUAAAAAUUUUUAAUGGGGUAUUUUACAUUCAAUUUCUUUUUCUUCUUGAAAUUUCUUGGGAGAAGCUUUGCUGCUAUUUUGUUAGUUUUUUUUUUUGGUGAUGGUGGAUGAAUAUUGGUGCAUUGAGGUUUGCAAAGUUUGUUUUUAGACCAUCUUCAAAAAAAAGAAAAAAAAAAAAAACUUAUUUUUCACUUCAAAAUAUA